UACGUAGGUGACCAGCGUUGUCCGGAUUUACUGGGCGUAAAGAGCGCGCAGGCGGUCGGAUAAGUCGAAUGUGAAAGCCCCCGGCUCAACUGGGGAGGGUCAUUCGAUACUGUUCGACUCGAAGGCAGGAGAGGGAAGUGGAAUUCUCGGUGUAGAGGUGAAAUUCGUAGAUAUCGAGAGGAACACCGGUGGCGAAGGCGGCCUUCUGGACAGUGACUGACGCUGAGACGCGAAAGCGUGGGGAGCAAACAGG
This 253-nucleotide ribosomal RNA is filed under the name uncultured bacterium. RNAcentral's name for it is "partial 16S ribosomal RNA". It matches the Rfam family "Bacterial small subunit ribosomal RNA", at positions 524 to 776 of the family's 1533-position model. The record is from RNAcentral.